UUGGCGUUAAUAUUGAUUCACUUAUAAGGUCUUUGCAUCGGAACUAAACACAUUUUUUUCAAAAACAGUUGUUGGCAUGACACGGGUUAUGUUCUUCUCAUAUAUGUUAUGAUGGUAUGAUACUAAACCCCUAACGGGAAGGAUUGUGCCUGAUGUUCAUAUGAUGAAAUCAUAAUCUUUCAGUCAGUUUAAUUGAAGUCUGGAGCUGGCAUGUCAGUUAACUG
RNAcentral lists this long non-coding RNA (224 nucleotides) under Mytilus galloprovincialis (Mediterranean mussel). The record is from RNAcentral. Lineage: Eukaryota; Metazoa; Mollusca; Bivalvia; Mytilida; Mytilidae.